This 419-nucleotide ribosomal RNA is filed under the name uncultured Exiguobacterium sp. RNAcentral's name for it is "bacterial SSU rRNA". It matches the Rfam family "Bacterial small subunit ribosomal RNA", at positions 1043 to 1462 of the family's 1533-position model. Lineage: Bacteria; Bacillati; Bacillota; Bacilli; Caryophanales. The record is from RNAcentral.
GCAUGGUUGUCGUCAGCUCGUGUCGUGAGAUGUUGGGUUAAGUCCCGCAACGAGCGCAACCCCUAUCCUUAGUUGCCAGCAUUCAGUUGGGCACUCUAGGGAGACUGCCGGUGACAAACCGGAGGAAGGUGGGGAUGACGUCAAAUCAUCAUGCCCCUUAUGAGUUGGGCUACACACGUGCUACAAUGGACGGUACAAAGGGCAGCGAGACCGCGAGGUGGAGCCAAUCCCAUAAAGCCGUUCCCAGUUCGGAUUGCAGGCUGCAACUCGCCUGCAUGAAGUCGGAAUCGCUAGUAAUCGCAGGUCAGCAUACUGCGGUGAAUACGUUCCCGGGUCUUGUACACACCGCCCGUCACACCANCGAGAGUUUGCAACACCCGAAGCCGGUGAGUAACAGACAAGGAGNCAGCCGUCGAAGU